GUUCUCACCCUGUGCUGACGAAGGUGGGCUUGGAGCUCUGGGCAGGCUUUACGUGACUUUACGAGGGGCUGCACAGGCAAACUGUGCUGAAGCCGGGAAUGAACCCACACGUUCCCUGGGAGGAAUCCCCAGGGUCCCAGCAGGAUGCAUUAACAGCACAUCUCUCCAGCGAGCCGUGAUGGGAAGAGCACGGAGCAAAAAAAAGAGAGAACCGAAGAACCGAUCUCUCGAAGGAUCCUGGCUGGCAGCAAUAUCAGCAUCUGACUGAAGAGAACUCAGCCGCACGCAUAAUCCUCGGGAAAAUUCAUCUCCACCCUCCC
Pseudopodoces humilis (Tibetan ground-tit) is the source of this 320-nucleotide long non-coding RNA. RefSeq lists it as uncharacterized. NCBI's taxonomy places the organism in Eukaryota, Metazoa, Chordata, Aves, Passeriformes, Paridae. The record is from RefSeq and is a predicted model, not a curated record.